ACCUGAGUGGCUCAGUUGGUUAAGCGUUCGACUUCGGCUCAGGUCAUGAUUUCGAGGUUCGUGGGUUCGAACCCCGCGUCAGGCU
Molecule: transfer RNA, 85 nt
Filed under: Felis catus (domestic cat)
Lineage: Eukaryota; Metazoa; Chordata; Mammalia; Carnivora; Felidae
Rfam family: tRNA
About the family: Transfer RNA (tRNA) molecules are approximately 80 nucleotides in length. Their secondary structure includes four short double-helical elements and three loops (D, anti-codon, and T loops). Further hydrogen bonds mediate the characteristic L-shaped molecular structure. tRNAs have two regions of fundamental functional importance: the anti-codon, which is responsible for specific mRNA codon recognition, and the 3' end, to which the tRNAs corresponding amino acid is attached (by aminoacyl-tRNA synthetases). tRNAs cope with the degeneracy of the genetic code in two manners: having more than one tRNA (with a specific anti-codon) for a particular amino acid; and 'wobble' base-pairing, i.e. permitting non-standard base-pairing at the 3rd anti-codon position.
Source: Rfam by way of RNAcentral